GAUGAACGCUGGCGGCGUGCCUAAUACAUGCAAGUCGAGCGAACAGACGAGGAGCUUGCUCCUCUGACGUUAGCGGCGGACGGGUGAGUAACACGUGGAUAACCUACCUAUAAGACUGGGAUAACUUCGGGAAACCGGAGCUAAUACCGGAUAAUAUAUUGAACCGCAUGGUUCAAUAGUGAAAGACGGUUUUGCUGUCACUUAUAGAUGGAUCCGCGCCGCAUUAGCUAGUUGGUAAGGUAACGGCUUACCAAGGCAACGAUGCGUAGCCGACCUGAGAGGGUGAACGGCCACACUGGAACUGAGACACGGUCCAGACUCCUACGGGAGGCAGCAGUAGGGAAUCUUCCGCGAUGGGCGAAAGCUUGACGGAGCAACGCCGCGUGAGUGAUGAAGGUCUUCGGAUCGUAAAACUCUGUUAUUAGGGAAGAACAAAUGUGUAAGUAACUAUGCACGUCUUGACGGUACCUAAUCAGAAAGCCACGGCUAACUACGUG
Molecule: ribosomal RNA, 497 nt
Filed under: uncultured bacterium
Lineage: Bacteria
Description: partial 16S ribosomal RNA
Rfam family: Bacterial small subunit ribosomal RNA
Source: RNAcentral